Molecule: ribosomal RNA, 1891 nt
Filed under: human gut metagenome
Description: bacterial LSU rRNA
Rfam family: Bacterial large subunit ribosomal RNA
Source: RNAcentral
UCAAGCUACAAAGAGCACAAGGGGAAUGCCUUGGCACCGAGAGCCGAAGAAGGACGUGACUAACUGCGAUAAGCUGCGGGGAGCCGUAAGUAGGCUUUGAUCCGCAGAUUUCCGAAUGGAGCAAUCCGGCAAGAGGAAAGUCUUGUCAUCAUAUACUGAAUACAUAGGUAUAUGAGGGGAACCGCCUGAACUGAAACAUCUAAGUAGGGCGAGGAAGAGAAAUCAACUGAGAUUCCGUAAGUAGUGGCGAGCGAACGCGGAAGAGGCCAAACCGAGAGUAGUAAUACUUUCGGGGUUCGGACAGAAAACGGUAUUGUAAAGGUUUAGUGGAAUGGAAUGGGAAGUCCAACCGAAGAAGGUGAGAGUCCUGUACACGAAAAGCCUGAACAGCCAUCUGUAUCCAGAGUACCGCCGGACACGUGAAACCCGGUGGGAAUACGGGGGGACCAUCCUCCAAGCCUAAAUACUACUCGGUGACCGAUAGUGAAGAAGUACUGUGAAGGAAAGGUGAAAAGUACCCCUGACGGGGAGUGAAAAAGAACCUGAAACCUUGUGUUUACAAGCACCGAAAGCUCAUCAAAGAGCGAUCGGGUACCUUUUGUAGAAUGGUCCGGCGAGUGAAUGUAACCGGCGAGGUUAAGCACUUAAGGUGUGAAGCCGCAGCGAGAGCAAGUCUGAAUAGGGCGUAUGAAGUCGGUUGUAUUCGACCCGAAACCGGGUGACCUACCCAUGGUCAGGUUGAAGUAAAGGUAAAACUUUAUGGAGGACCGAACCGACUCCCGUUGAAAUGGUAGCGGAUGAACUGUGGGUAGCGGAGAAAUUCCAAUCGAACCCGGAGAUAGCUGGUUCUCUCCGAAAUAGCUUUAGGGCUAGCCUUGAAAUAGAUUACCGGAGGUAAAGCACUGAAUUGGCUAGGGGCCGAGAGGUUACUGAACCUUAUCAAACUAAGAAUGCCGGAUAAUCGUUUUUCAGGAGUCAGACAGUGGGAGAUAAGUUUCAUUGUCAAAAGGGAAACAGCCCAGACCCACAGCUAAGGUCCCCAAGUAUAGUUAAGUGGAAAAGGAUGUGGAAUUGCACAGACAACCAGGAUGUUGGCUUAGAAGCAGCCACUCAUUAAAAGAGUGCGUAAUAGCUCACUGGUCGAGUGACUCUGCGCCGAAAAUUUAACGGGGCUAAACUAUACACCGAAGCUUGGGAUACAUCUAAUGUAUGGUAGGAGAGCGUUCUGUAUGGGGAGAAGUCGUAGCGAAAGCGGCGGUGGACUAUACAGAAGUGAGAAUGCCGGAAUAAGUAGCGAGAAUUAAGUGAGAAUCUUAAUGGCCGAAAGUCUAAGGUUUUUGGAGGAAGGUUCGUCCGCUCCAAGUAAGUCGGGAGCUAAGGUCAGGCCGAAAGGCGUAGCCGAUGCACAUACGGUUGAUAUUCCGUAACCAUCUGUAAUUUAAGCAAAGGGACACUUCAAAAGGGUGUGACCCGGGCGUUGGUUGACCCGGGCGUAAGGGACCGAAAUUAGAGUAGGGAAGCACACUUAGCUGAAGGCGAGAAAAGCUUUGCGUAUAGAAACAGAUGCCCGUACCGCAAACCGACACAGGUGGACAGGAAGAGAAUUCUAAGGCCAGCGGGAGAAGGGUAGUUAAGGAACUCGGCAAAUUGACUCCGUAACUUCGGAAUAAGGAGUGCUCGAAAGAGCCGCAGAGAAUAGGCCCAGGCGACUGUUUAGCAAAAACACAGGUCUCUGCCAAAUCGAAAGAUGAAGUAUAGGGGCUGACACCUGCCCGGUGCCGGAAGGUUAAGAGGAGGAGUGAGAGCUCCGAAUUGAAGCCCCGGUAAACGGCGGCCGUAACUAUAACGGUCCUAAGGUAGCGAAAUUCCUUGUCGGGUAAGUUCCGACCUG